Molecule: long non-coding RNA, 425 nt
Organism: Gopherus evgoodei (Goodes thornscrub tortoise)
Lineage: Eukaryota; Metazoa; Chordata; Testudines; Testudinidae
Exons: 2
Source: RefSeq, a predicted model, not a curated record
ACAUUUCUUUAUUUACCCCCCUUGACACAAGUGUUUCAGUAAAAAAGAGCAGGUAGAAGUACCCAUGGUUUUUAGUAACAAACAGUUUAUAAACCCCUUAUUUUGUAAACCAGUGGAAUAGAAAGACAAAGAAGCAAAGUAUUUUGUUAACCAUUGGAUCAGAGAGAAAAGGAUUGCUUUUUUACCUGCUUUUUAACAAAGAGAGGUGAAAAGGAAUAAACAGUUGAAAAGACAAGCCUACCAGAAGACCCAUAACCUUCAUUUAGCCCCUCAGGCACAGGUGUUUCAAUAACAUGCAAGUCCGCAGAAACAACCCAGGCUUAAAAACACAGAAAGCCUGUUUAUAAAAGUUUUUCCCUAGGUUUAGGCUAGCACUGGUCAUUUUUUAGUAAGGACAGCAGGCUUUUGCAGCAGAGCAGCUGUCA